This is a non-coding RNA of Pimephales promelas (fathead minnow), 439 nucleotides long. The record is from RefSeq and is a predicted model, not a curated record. NCBI's taxonomy places the organism in Eukaryota, Metazoa, Chordata, Actinopteri, Cypriniformes, Leuciscidae.
UCCUCAUAAAAAUGAAAACUCUUACCUUUGAUCUCAAACUAUCUAUAGUCUUUGGGUCUGAUUAGUCUUUUUUUGUUGCAUUAUUUAAAUUCAUGUUACCUUAACCAAAUUGAAUUAUUAUCUAUUACAUUUCUGUUGCUUUCCAUAGGACAGAUUCCCUGUGGGAGAGAGACUAUGCUGAGCUUGCAGUUGGUGAUGAAAUAUUAACUCAUGAGGGAUAUUUUAAGACUUCUCACAUCUCUGUCUCAAUCACAUGGGAUGGACAGAUGCAGGGCUCGUCUCAAUCACAGCAGCCUACUCAUAUACUCAAGGCCAAAGGCAAUCAAAGCAUGGUACGUGUUCUUCAAUUGGUGUAAAUCUGUGUGUUAAAUGUAAUAUAAUAAUAGUAAUAGAGCUUUACUGAAAGGUGGUUUUAUGGUUGUAUAGUUUUGAUUGAAUU